AUAAAUAUACUAAUCAUUCAACUAAUAAUUUAAUUAAAAUAAUUAAUAAAUAAUCUUCAUAAAUUUACUAACAAAAUACCGUAAGGGAAUAAAAUAAUAUAUAAAAGUAGUUAUAAAUAAACAUACCUUGUGCAUAAUGGUUUUACAAGAACAAAUUUUAUAAUUCACUCCCGAAUUCUUUAUGAGCUGAUCUUUAAAUGAUAAGAUCCAAUUACUAGUUGUGUCAAAAACUUUAAAAUAUUAAAAAUCAGAGGCUACAUACCAACCGCAUAAGAAAAUCUCUGGUUUCCAUAAAAAUUUAUAUAUUAAAUCAAUUAUACAAUGUAUAAUAUGUUAAAUAAUAGAGGAUAAGCCCUAUUAUACAAUCAAUAAGUAAUUAUAAAACAAAUAAAGUAGGCCUAAAAUCAGCCACCUUAAAAUACGUCACAGUAAUAUAAACUAAUUAAUUUAUAAAAAUAAAUGAUAAACAUAAAUGGAUAAAUGAAUAAACAAUCAUUCAUUUUAAAUCUGUAAAAACAAGUAUUUAAUUAAAUUAUUUAGCAACACAUAAAAACAACAAAAAAUAAAUAAUAAUAAAAAAUUUUAUUAAGAAACUCGGCAAAUAUCUAUUUCGACUGUUUACCAAAAACAUUGCUUCUUGAAUUUAAUAAAAAGUAAUCUCCUGCCCAGUGAAAUUUAAACGGCCGCGGUAUCCUAACCGUGCAAAGGUAGCAUAAUAAUUUGCCCAUUAAUUGUGGGCUAGAAUGAAGGGGGUAACGAAAUAAGCACUGUCUCAAUAAAACUAAUAAAAACUAAUAUCCAAGUGAAGAAGCUUAGAUAAAAUUAAAGGACAAGAAGACCCUAUAGAGCUUUAUCUUUUUAUGUUCUAACAAAUAAAAGAUUCGGUUGGGGCGACCAUGGAUAAUUCAUCCAUAAUUUAUAAGACUAACUAGUCAAUUCAUAGAUCCUUUUAAGAUCACAGAAUUAAGCUACCUUAGGGAUAACAGGCUAAUCCUAUUAAAGAGCUCUUAUCGACAAUAGGGAUUGGCACCUCGAUGUUGGCUUAGAAUAUCUUUAUGGCGCAGAAGUCAUAUAAAGAGGGUUUGUUCAACCCGUAACAUUCUACAUGAGCUGAGUUCAGACCGGCGUAAGCCAGGUUAGUUUCUAUCCUUAAUAUCCAUUUAAAUUUACAGUACGAAAGGACCUAAAUUUUACAUUUCAUGUAAAGAAUAAAUAAAUAUAAUAAUAUAUAAUAAUAAACACUUAUACACUAUAA
Molecule: ribosomal RNA, 1255 nt
Filed under: Mesenchytraeus hydrius
Lineage: Eukaryota; Metazoa; Annelida; Clitellata; Enchytraeida; Enchytraeidae
Description: partial 16S large subunit ribosomal RNA
Rfam family: Bacterial large subunit ribosomal RNA (bases 822-1154)
Source: RNAcentral